GCAGGCGUAUCGAAGCGGUCAUAACGGGACUGACUCGAAAUCAGUUGAACUCGAAAGAGUUCCGUGGGUUCGAAUCCCACCGCCUGCGCCA
This 91-nucleotide transfer RNA is filed under the name Gemmiger formicilis. RNAcentral's name for it is "tRNA-Ser". It matches the Rfam family "tRNA". From Rfam's summary of the family: Transfer RNA (tRNA) molecules are approximately 80 nucleotides in length. Lineage: Bacteria; Bacillati; Bacillota; Clostridia; Eubacteriales; Oscillospiraceae. RNAcentral also lists the same sequence under 3 other names. The record is from RNAcentral.